UCAAGCUAAUAAGAGCGCAAGGGGAAUGCCUUGGCAUCAGGAGCCGACGAAGGACGUGACAAGCUGCGAUAAGCUUCGGGGAGCUGCAAAUGAGCAUUGAUCCGGAGAUUUCCGAAUGGGGAAACCCACAUAGGCAAUACCUAUGUACCGUGCAUUGAAUAAAAUAGGUGUACGGAGGGAACGCCCUGAACUGAAACAUCUAAGUAGGGGCAGGAAAAGACAUCAACCGAGAUUCCGCAAGUAGUGGCGAGCGAACGCGGAGGAGGCCAAACCAGAGGUCAUUGAUCUCUGGGGUUAGGACUUGCAUCACGAUCAGAGGUAUCUAGCGGAACGGCAUGGGAAGGCCGACCACAGAGUGUGAGAGUCACGUACGCGAAAGAGAAGACUGACAGCGAGUAUCCAGAGUACCGCCGGACACGUGAAACCCGGUGGGAACACGGGUGGACCACCAUCCAAGCCUAAAUACUACCUGAUGACCGAUAGAGAAGCAGUACCGUGAGGGAAAGGUGAAAAGAACCCCGGGAGGGGAGUGAAAUAGUACCUGAAACCUUGUGCUUACAAGCAGAUAGAGCACGUUAAAGUGUGAUAUCGUACCUUUUGUAGAAUGGUCCGGCGAGUUAUAGUCACUGGCGAGGUUAAGUUAUUCAGUAACGGAGCCGAAGGGAAACCGAGUCUUAAUAGGGCGUCGAGUCAGUGGCCAUAGACCUGAAACCGGGUGACCUAUCCAUGAGCAGGCUGAAGGUGAGGUAAAACUCACUGGAGGGCCGAACCCACGUUCGUUGCAAUGACCGGGGAUGACUUGUGGAUAGCGGAGAAAUUCCAAUCGAACUCGGAGAUAGCUGGUUCUCCCCGAAAUAGCUUUAGGGCUAGCGUUAUGUUAGAUUACCGGAGGUAGAGCACUGAAUAGGCUAGGGGGCGAUGAGCUUACUGAACCUUAUCAAACUUCGAAUGCCGGAUAAUUGAUGCAUAGCAGUCAGACAGUGUGAGAUAAGUUUCAUUGUCGAAAGGGAAACAGCCCAGACCCACAGCUAAGGUCCCAAAUAUAUGCUAAGUGGAAAACGAUGUGGGGUUGCGAAAACAACCAGGAUGUUGGCUUAGAGGCAGCCACUCAUUAAAAGAGUGCGUAAUAGCUCACUGGUCGAGUGACCCUGCGCGGAAAAUGUAACGGGGCUAAGCAUAUAACCGAAGCUUGGGAUAUCCAAUGGAUAUGGUAGGGGAGCGUCGAAUACGGGGCGAAGUCGUAGCGGAAGCAACGGUGGACUGUAUUCGAGUGAGAAUGCCGGAAUGAGUAGCGAGAAUUAUGUGGGAAUCAUAAUGGCCGAAAAUCUAAGGUUUCUUGGGGAAGGUUCGUCCGCCCAAGGUAAGCCGGGAGCUAAGGCGAGGCCGAAAGGCGUAGUCGAUGCACACACGGUAGAAAUUCCGUGGCCGCCGAAAGUGUUAAGCACAGGGACACAUAGAGAUAGCCGGACCGGGGCGUUGGUUGACCCCGCUGAAAGGGCCCGUAAAUGAUCGGGGAGUCGGCGAUGCUCUGUGGCGAGAAAAGCUGUGUGUAUUACUAAGGCGCCCGUACCGCAAACCGACACAGGUAGAUGAGGAGAGAAUCCUAAGGCCAACGGGAGAAGGGUUGUUAAGGAACUCGGCAAAUUGACCCCGUAACUUCGGGAUAAGGGGAGCCGGCCACGGCCGGCCGCAGUGAAUAGGCCCAAGCAACUGUUUACCAAAAACACAGGUCUCUGCUAAAUCGAAAGAUGACGUAUAGGGGCUGACGCCUGCCCGGUGCCGGAAGGUUAAGAGGAGAGCUUAGCGCAAGCGAAGGUUUGAAUUGAAGCCCCGGUAAACGGCGGCCGUAACUAUAACGGUCCUAAGGUAGCGAAAUUCCUUGUCAG
Molecule: ribosomal RNA, 1886 nt
Filed under: human gut metagenome
Description: bacterial LSU rRNA
Rfam family: Bacterial large subunit ribosomal RNA
Source: RNAcentral